Molecule: non-coding RNA, 803 nt
Organism: Pimephales promelas (fathead minnow)
Lineage: Eukaryota; Metazoa; Chordata; Actinopteri; Cypriniformes; Leuciscidae
Source: RefSeq, a predicted model, not a curated record
CCCAUAAAACGAUGUGAAAAAUUUCCUCAGCAAGCACAUUUAUUUUAAAUUCACGUUUUUCCUCAAACAUAUUUAAUAUGGACCAACGUAUGGUUGAUGUAACAUCAAAGAAGUCUACGAGAACGCAGAGAGCUGCAGGUUACUUCACACACUUGGUCUCCAUUCACAAAUUCACCGAUGACAUCAGCUCGCUGCUGUUACCAUGGCAACCGGCUCCAUCAUGUGUGUCAUGUGACAGGAAGAAAGCCUCUCGUAGAAGUCGAGAUGCGCUCCGGACGGGAAGUCGUUGUCCAGCAGGAGUUUGACGAGUUUGGACCCGGACUCCUCGCAGGUCAGAAGCUGGUGUUCGGAGAACAUCGAGGAGAACGAGCGACGCAGGUUCAGGUCUCCAGAGAAACGACGGGCUUGAAGCUGCAUGUCUGUGUCCAGAGGACCUGUGGGUCACAGUACACUCACCGGGAGCGUAACUCAGCACCCGUACGUCCGGCUCCUCUUCGGCUAACACCCGGAACAUCAUGUCUCGCGCCGCUUUCCCGGUGCAGUACAGGACCCACGAGGGGAAGGGCUUCAGCGCACACAGAGAGCUGAUGUUCACCACGGUUCUCCUCAGACCCAGACGAUGAGGGAACGCCUGCAGGACGCCGGCCGUCAGACUGAGCGCGCCGCUAACGUUCAGCGACAGGUAGCGGUUCACCUCCGCGGGGUCCGUGAACGACACAGCGAAGCGAGACACGUCGCCCAGAGACGCUGAGAACAAGAGACACACUCAUUACAAGAGAACGAUCGGCUCUUUCAAAGCGCUC